This 524-nucleotide ribosomal RNA is filed under the name uncultured Staphylococcus sp. RNAcentral's name for it is "bacterial SSU rRNA". It matches the Rfam family "Bacterial small subunit ribosomal RNA", at positions 202 to 719 of the family's 1533-position model. Lineage: Bacteria; Bacillati; Bacillota; Bacilli; Caryophanales; Staphylococcaceae. The record is from RNAcentral.
ACGGUCUUGCUGUCACUUAUAGAUGGAUCCGCGCUGCAUUAGCUAGUUGGUAAGGUAACGGCUUACCAAGGCAACGAUGCAUAGCCGACCUGAGAGGGUGAUCGGCCACACUGGAACUGAGACACGGUCCAGACUCCUACGGGAGGCAGCAGUAGGGAAUCUUCCGCAAUGGGCGAAAGCCUGACGGAGCAACGCCGCGUGAGUGAUGAAGGUCUUCGGAUCGUAAAACUCUGUUAUUAGGGAAGAACAUAUGUGUAAGUAACUGUGCACAUCUUGACGGUACCUAAUCAGAAAGCCACGGCUAACUACGUGCCAGCAGCCGCGGUAAUACGUAGGUGGCAAGCGUUAUCCGGAAUUAUUGGGCGUAAAGCGCGCGUAGGCGGUUUUUUAAGUCUGAUGUGAAAGCCCACGGCUCAACCGUGGAGGGUCAUUGGAAACUGGAAAACUUGAGUGCAGAAGAGGAGAGUGGAAUUCCAUGUGUAGCGGUGAAAUGCGCAGAGAUAUGGAGGAACACCAGUGGCGAA